Molecule: ribosomal RNA, 350 nt
Filed under: uncultured eukaryote
Lineage: Eukaryota
Description: partial 18S ribosomal RNA
Rfam family: Eukaryotic small subunit ribosomal RNA
Source: RNAcentral
CAACAGCGUAUAUUAAAGUUGUUGCAGUUAAAACGCUCGUAGUUGAACAUCUGCCCUUUUCCGGUUAGGUCCGCUCUGCGUGCACCUUCCGAAAUCGGCAUCCGUCUGCGUUGCUUCGCAUUGCAGACCGUUCACUUUGAGGAAAUUAGAGUGUUCAAAGCAGGCUUACGCCUUGAAUACUUCAGCAUGGAAUGAUUGAUAGGACUUCUAUCCUAUCUUGGUUCUAGGGACAGAAGUAAUGGUAAACAGGGUUGGUUGGGGGCAUUCGUACUGAACAGUCAGAGGUGAAAUUCUUAGAUUUGUUCAAGACGAACAACUGCGAAAGCAUUUGCCAAGGACGACCCCAUUAA